GUAAGCAUUCUUUUCAAUCCAUCUUAAACUUUUGGUUUUUAGUAUAUUAGUAAUUUAGAGGGUUCCUUUUCUUCUUUUACAUAUGUAACCUGUCAAUUGGCAUUUGGUAUGACAUAGUGGAGUACAAUACAAAGCUCCUAGUUGUUUCUUGUUGAUUCUUUUAUAUGCUGAUGUGAGUAAUUUGCCUUUGGAAUCUGACUCAUGUCUGCUUAAUGUUGUAUGUAUUCAUGCAGCCGUACCCAUAUUUGCACAUUCGCAACAAGGAGUUCCCAUGGGGUAUGUAUAAAUGAACUGUUAAUUUUCUGGCUUUGUUCUGUCCCAAAAAAAAAAUGAAGAAUACUUUGCUUUCUUAAAAUUCUUAUUGUGUUUUUGACGUUUUAUCACUUGAUAGAGGCAGAGCUUAUUGAUUAUUUAUUAAGUUCAGUGUGUAUGCCAUCUUGUUGUAAGUUGUCAAACUCCGCACCUAUUUUGUGUGUCUCUAGUUGCAUCUUGUGUAGUAAGGCGCUGUUACUUUCAUAAUUUUGCACUUUUUAUGACUUUUUCCUCAACUAAUUUACACUAUAUUAAGUGAAGAGCAGCAUUCUCAAGCUGCAAAGAAUCAGUUGAACAACUUUCUGGAUAUUUGUACAUUUUAUGAAUAAUGAUGCAUAUUUUUUACCGUUAUAUUAGGAUUGCAAUUAAUAGCAUGCAGAUAGCAUCGUAGUGGCUGGGGCAUCCAAGACGACGUUUGGUUGAGUUCAAGUGAAUCCAGACUUCUAAGCGAAAUGCCCCACGUUUGUCAUCCCUGUUUAAUUGUUAUUUGAGGCUCCUUAAACACGUUUAUUUACCAUUUUUUUUUUGUUCGAGUUUUAAAUCAGGACAAGCUGUGUUUAUCUGAGAUGCUUUUUCCGCCUUGUGUGCAGGACCAGAUGUGCUUUUUGAGAAGAAGCACCAUUAAUAAGUGACAAGGGCCCAUUGCAAGAAGAUAUCUGAAGUACCCUCUUUUAGCACGUUCUUCUCUUAUGCCAGCGAUUGGGCACCUUUUUAUGUUCUAUGAAUUGAUGUUGAUUUUGUGACUAUACACAUGGCUAGUUGUUUAGUGUUUUUUUUCUUUUAACUAUGCACUGCUUGCUAAUGAAUAAAAUCUGAGGAAAGAUGUGAGAUUUCUCAUUCCAUCAUUGAUGACAUAGUUGAUUUCUGAUUUAUGAUACAUCUAUGUUAGUGAGGAAUGAAUUUGGAGGUUAUAAUUCGUGCUAUAUCCUUAUAUGCGUGGCCUACCACUAGAUG
This 1266-nucleotide unclassified non-coding RNA is filed under the name Hevea brasiliensis (rubber tree). Lineage: Eukaryota; Viridiplantae; Streptophyta; Magnoliopsida; Malpighiales; Euphorbiaceae. The record is from RNAcentral.